Molecule: ribosomal RNA, 305 nt
Filed under: uncultured bacterium
Lineage: Bacteria
Description: bacterial SSU rRNA
Rfam family: Bacterial small subunit ribosomal RNA
Source: RNAcentral
UGUGUCCUACGGGACGCAGCAGUGGGGAAUAUUGGACAAUGGGGGGAACCCUGAUCCAGCGACGCCGCGUGAGUGAAGAAGUAUUUCGGUAUGUAAAGCUCUAUCAGCAGGGAAGAAAGAAAUGACGGUACCUGACUAAGAAGCCCCGGCUAACUACGUGCCUGCAGCCGCGGUAAUACGUAGGGGGCAAGCGUUAUCCGGAUUUACUGGGUGUAAAGGGAGCGUAGACGGUAUGGCAAGUCUGAUGUGAAAACCCGGGGCUCAACCCCGGGACUGCAUUGGACACUGUCGUACUAGAGUGUCGG